This 463-nucleotide ribosomal RNA is filed under the name uncultured bacterium. RNAcentral describes it as "partial 16S ribosomal RNA". It matches the Rfam family "Bacterial small subunit ribosomal RNA", at positions 28 to 507 of the family's 1533-position model. The record is from RNAcentral.
GACGAACGCUGGCGGCGUGCUUAACACAUGCAAGUCGAACGGUGAACCUCUUCGGAGGGGAUCAGUGGCGAACGGGUGAGUAACACGUGGGCAACCUGCCCCCGGCUCUGGGAUAACUCCAAGAAAUUGGGGCUAAUACCGGAUGUUCACCGCUUCCCGCAUGGGUGGUGGUGGAAAGGGUUUCCGGCUGGGGAUGGGCCCGCGGCCUAUCAGCUUGUUGGUGGGGUAGUGGCCUACCAAGGCGACGACGGGUAGCCGGCCUGAGAGGGUGACCGGCCACAGGGGGGAGGAGCGAGGGCCCGGAGUCCGGCGGGGGGGGGGGGGGGGGAUGGGUGGGGAGGGGGGGGGGGCGGGAGGAGGCGGGCCCGGGGGGGGGAGGACGGCCUUGGGGUUGUAAACCUCUUUCAGCGGGGAGGAAGCGGAAGUGAGGGUACCGAAAGAAGAAGCCCGGGCCAACUACGGG